CACGUAGGGACCAAGCGUUGUCCGGAUUUAUUGGGCGUAAAGAGCUCGUAGGCGGUUCGGUAAGUCAGAUGUGAAAGCCCUGGGCUCAACCCAGGAACUGCAUCUGAUACUGCUGUGACUUGAGUUCGGUAGGGGAGCGGGGAAUUCCUGGUGUAGCGGUGAAAUGCACAGAUAUCAGGAGGAACACCGGUGGCGAAGGCGCCGCUCUGGGCCGGUACUGACGCUGAGGAGCGAAAGCGUGGGUAGCAAACAGG
RNAcentral lists this ribosomal RNA (254 nucleotides) under uncultured bacterium. RNAcentral's name for it is "partial 16S ribosomal RNA". It matches the Rfam family "Bacterial small subunit ribosomal RNA", at positions 524 to 776 of the family's 1533-position model. The record is from RNAcentral.